This 469-nucleotide long non-coding RNA is filed under the name Felis catus (domestic cat). RNAcentral's name for it is "lncRNA (ENSFCAG00000048619.1)". Lineage: Eukaryota; Metazoa; Chordata; Mammalia; Carnivora; Felidae. The record is from RNAcentral.
CCCAACUACACAGAGGCUAUGUGUGGACUCUGUUUCUGACACCCCAGGUCCUGAAGACCCUUUGGCAACACCAGGAGCUCCCUCCAGUCUCUUGCGAGUCAUACUUGACGAGGACCAGCUCUGCUCCUGGCACACGGGCCACCUCUGCUUUGCCUCCUGCAUUGUCACAGCCCUGAGCCUGCCUGAGUCCUAAAACAACCAGGACCUCGGAAGCCUGGACAUCACAGAGACUUCUGGCAGAGACAAAGAUGGCCUCCAGCUUGGUUGAGGUGGCAGCAAGGCAGUGAGAGUCCAUAGGGGUGCCCAAGGAGGGGCCUGGGGGAAAUCAAAAGCAGUCAUUUCUUCUGGGACUUGUCAGUUUUGCUUGGAGGGAUGGUUCCCUUUGGUUAUCCCCAAAUUUAGUGAAAAGGCAGAGACCAGUGCUAGCUGUGCCACGUAACUAAGGGAAGAGCUCUUCCGGGCUGGAGUU